GCCGCAGUGGUGGAAUUGGUAGACACGCCGGACUCAAAAUCCUGUGAGCAUUACGCUCGUGACGGUUCAAGUCCGUCCUGCGGCACCA
RNAcentral lists this transfer RNA (88 nucleotides) under Candidatus Saccharimonadota bacterium. RNAcentral describes it as "tRNA-Leu". It matches the Rfam family "tRNA". From Rfam's summary of the family: Transfer RNA (tRNA) molecules are approximately 80 nucleotides in length. Their secondary structure includes four short double-helical elements and three loops (D, anti-codon, and T loops). Further hydrogen bonds mediate the characteristic L-shaped molecular structure. tRNAs have two regions of fundamental functional importance: the anti-codon, which is responsible for specific mRNA codon recognition, and the 3' end, to which the tRNAs corresponding amino acid is attached (by aminoacyl-tRNA synthetases). tRNAs cope with the degeneracy of the genetic code in two manners: having more than one tRNA (with a specific anti-codon) for a particular amino acid; and 'wobble' base-pairing, i.e. permitting non-standard base-pairing at the 3rd anti-codon position. RNAcentral also lists the same sequence under 2 other names. Lineage: Bacteria; Candidatus Saccharimonadota. The record is from RNAcentral.